UCAUCACUGAUACGUAGUAGAAAGUAGAACGUAGAACACAGCCAAAGGCAAAACUUGUUUGGAUAUUUUUGUUUUUCAUGUCCUUCAAUUGAAGAAUCUUGGACACAAGUUAGAAUCGGUGUUGCCGUUUUUUCACAGACAACAUAUUCAUUACUUCUUAAAAGUUUCCAAAUAGAACAGUAAAAAGUACAUAAUUCUAUGCAUUAUAUAGUAUUAUACAUAUACACUCCAUACUAUUAUAUACAUAUACACUUCAUACUAGAAUUCUGUGAUAAAAAAGUACUGAAUAUGAAGAAUUGAAAACUGAUAAACGCGGCAAUACUUUAAAUACAACGUUAUGGAUAAUUAUAUUUAAAAGGAAAUGAACAGUUUCGUAAAUUCAAUUUGACUUGAAGAAAAAGCUUUUAUCGUUUCACGUAUAUAAUCAAAUCCUUUUAAACAUCUCGUGAAUAUUAACUACGUAACAAUUUCUGCACGCAUGUGCUUUGAAAAUAACUCUCAAAAAACACCAUUUAUAUUACAGUUUUGAAACGAACAUUUUAUAAGAACAUCGUAUAAUUCGUACGACAUGAAGUUGAGCGGCCAACUGUAAUCAAAAUAUUAAUUGACACCGACUCCCCUUGCUUUUAUGCAAUCACGAACGUAAAUAUACGCACACAUUUUAAAGGUUAAAGAAAUGAUUAUUUUUAUGAUGUUAACAAUAAGUAUGCUUCUUGUACACGACAGUAAAAAAACUUCACUUGGAGCACGAUACAAAAGCUGCGUUUAAAACAUAAAUAUACCACAUGCUUCAGCAUUAAAGAACUAAAUUCAAGAAUGUUUUUCUCCAAAUUAACAUAAAUUUUUUGUUUCAAUAUUUUUAAUUAGCUCCUCACGUAUCGUACACAAUUUAGUUUUCUAAUCUCUCGCGUGUUCCUUAUGCUCUGUUAAAAGUAUAAAUAAAUAUAUAAAUAAAAUACUUCAAAUGUAAACCAUGCACCUUCGAUCCAGGUCGGAAUAUAUAUUUGCCAACACUA
Non-coding RNA from Megalopta genalis, 1016 nucleotides. Lineage: Eukaryota; Metazoa; Arthropoda; Insecta; Hymenoptera; Halictidae. The record is from RefSeq and is a predicted model, not a curated record.